Molecule: ribosomal RNA, 777 nt
Filed under: uncultured bacterium
Lineage: Bacteria
Description: bacterial SSU rRNA
Rfam family: Bacterial small subunit ribosomal RNA
Source: RNAcentral
GGUGAACGCUAGCGACAGGCCUAACACAUGCAAGUCGAGGGGCAUCGGGACGUAGCAAUACGUUGCCGGCGACCGGCGGAUGGGUGAGUAACGCGUAUGCAACCUACCCGUAGCAGGGGGAUAGCCCGUUGAAAGACGGAUUAAUACCCCGUAACACAGGGGCUCCGCAUGGAGAUUAUUGUUAAAGGGUCAUUUCUUUUUCAGGGAUGGUCCGGCUGCGGAUGGGCAUGCGUUCCAUUAGGUAGUUGGUGUAGGUAAUUGCUCACCAAGCCGACGAUGGAUAGGGGAACUGAGAGGUUGGUCCCCCACACUGGUACUGAGACACGGACCAGACUCCUACGGGAGGCAGCAGUGAGGAAUUUUGGUCAACGGAUGCAAGUCUGAACCAGCCAUGUCGCGUGAAGGAGGACGGCCCUAAGGGUUGUAAACUUCUUUUGCAGUGGAAUAAAGUUUGCCACGUGUUGGCGAUUUGCAAGUACGCUGCGAAUAAGGAUCGGCUAACUCCGUGCCAGCAGCCGCGGUAAUACGGAGGAUCCAGGCGUUAUCCGGAUUUAUUGGGUUUAAAGGGUGCGCAGGCGGGGAAUUAGGUCGGCGGUGAAAUUUCGGGGCUCAACCUCGACAGUGCCGUUGAAACCGUUUCUCUUGAGUGCGGAUGAGGUAGGCGGAAUUUGUGGUGUAGCGGUGAAAUGCGUAGAUAUCACAAGGAACACCGAUUGCGGAGGCAGCUUACUAAACCGUUACUGACGCUCAUGCACGAAGGCGUGGGGAUCAAACAGG